This is a long non-coding RNA of Peromyscus leucopus (white-footed mouse), 979 nucleotides long. RefSeq lists it as uncharacterized. Lineage: Eukaryota; Metazoa; Chordata; Mammalia; Rodentia; Cricetidae. The transcript is spliced from 3 exons. The record is from RefSeq and is a predicted model, not a curated record.
ACAUGCCUAUCAUUGCAGCACUUGGGAGGCAACGACAAGAAGAUCAAGAGUUCAAGACCAGCCUUGGCUACAUAUUGCAUUUGGGCUGAUUUGGGCUACCUGAAACUGACUCAGAAAGAAAACCAACAACAACAAACGAAGAACAGCCAGACUAAAGUAAUGGAGUAAAGAGGAUACCAAGCAGACAGCCUGAGACUGAUCCUUGGGACCUACGUGGUGUGGAAGGAGAGAACUGACUCCCAAGAGUUUAUCUUAGGCACUUCCUAUGCUUGCCAUAGCAUGUGCUUACCCUCCUAAAUAAAUAUGUACUGGUGACCUGCUUUGGCCAAGUCUCAAGUUAAUGAAUACUGCUGUACACUAAACAACAUGGAUACCCAGCUAGUGCCAUGAACCCAGUGCUGAUGUACAAAAACACAGGAUUUUCUGUCGAUUUUCAUCAUCCUUUUAGGUUGCUGCAGAUGCCAUCUGACAUAAUGAUGCUAAUCACAACACCUACCUGUCGAGAAGAGUAAUGACAAACAUGUGACAUCAGUGGCACCCUCCUUACUAAUCAAUGCCCUUCUGAUGCCAACAACCUUUCAGAAUUGCAGCAGGUAUUUCUACUCAACGAUUGUUUUUUCUCAGUGAACCCAGCAUCCUUCUCAACCUAGUUUGUAAGCAGUUAUGACAAUUAAUUCUUGAGAUGUUGCCCCAGUCUUAAUAGAUCAUGAGUUAGCUCAUGAAGUAUAUCCUAUGCACUAGCCCAGGCCAAUGGUUUUUAGUUUACAUAACUUUUUGUUUUUGUGCUUGUGAUAGUGAGGAUUAAACUCAGGGUCUUGCACGUUCAAACAAGCAUCUAUCAUUGACUUACAUCUCCAGAUUUCUUUCUACUUUUUUAUAAAAUUAGUUUUUUCUUCAAAAUUAAAAUACAAUUACAUUAUUUUCCCCUUCCCUUUUUUUUUGUUUCUUAAUUUGAUCAAAGUUGUAUUAAAAUAUCCAG